UAGUAUUAUUUUCACUACCAAUUUUUAUGAAAACUAAGUAGCAGGCUUUGGAAAAAAUUGACACACUGCAUAAUGACAUUAACAUUUGUUGUAAUUGAUUAGUUGUCAUUUUGCAUUCAAAUUGUUAAUAUCUUUUUAACUAUGGAAGACUUUUCGACCCGUGAAAAAGUAGAUAUUCAUUUUAUGUAUGGGUUUUGCAAUGGAAACGCACAUGCCGCUGCACGAGAGUAUCGGCGGAGGUUACCUGCAAGAAGGCUUUCAAAUUGGAAAGUUUUUGUUAGAUUUUAUAGAAAUUUACUUGAAUAUGGAUCCUUGAGGUGCGUGAGGGCAAGGAAUACCAAUUGCAAAUGAUUGUUAUGGGGAAGUACUGAAUUUAAUUGAAGAAAACCCUCAAAUAUCAUUGAGAACCUUAGAAGAGAUUACCAAUAUCCCAAAGUCAAAUAUUGGAAGAAUGACUAAGAUGUUAGGAUACCAUCCUUUCCAUUAUAAAAGGGUUCAGGAGUUAGAAGAAGAAGAUUUUCCAGCUCAAGUAGACUUUUGUCAUUGGAUUUUAAAUCACCCAAAUCUUCGUCAAAAAAUUUUGUGGUCAGCUGAGGCAACUUUUUCUAGGAGUAAGGGCUUUAACAGCCGUAAUACUCAUUUUUGGAGCAUCGAGAAUCCGAGAGUAGUUCGACGAACUAACUUUCAGCAUAGAUUCUCCUAACGUAUGGGUGGGUUUAAUAGGAGAUAAAUUGAUAGGCUGAUAUUAUUUUGCCACACAGGUUAACUGGUCGUCAUUAUUUAAAUUUUCUUCUAAACAAUCUCAGAGAUUUACUGAACGAUGAUUUUUCAGCACCAUGGGGCACCAGCUCACUACAGCCGACAGGUGAGAAACUGGCUGGACAAUAAUUUUACAGGCAGAUGGAUAGGUCGAGGUGGUCCAAUAAACUGUCCUGCACGAUCGCCCCACCUUAAUCCUCUGGAUUAUUAUUUUUGGGGUAAUAUGUGCAAUAUUAUUUAUGCCACCGAAAUUGAUACUCCAGAAGAGCUUCAGAGGCGAAUUAUCGCAGCUGCAGGCCAAAUAAGAGAAAACCGAUUUGAAAUUCUUAGAUCGACCCAAAACAUUCAAAAAAGAUCCAGGUUAUGCAUUCAGGAAAACGGAAACUUGUUUGAACAUUUGCCUGAAAUAAAUUAGUAUUUUUAUCUGUUUGCAAUUUUAUUUGUCAAUUUACUUUUGAAGCGUGCUAUUAAGUUUUAAUAAAAAUUGUUAUUAAUAAUA
Long non-coding RNA from Anthonomus grandis grandis, 1258 nucleotides. RefSeq lists it as uncharacterized. The transcript is spliced from 2 exons. NCBI's taxonomy places the organism in Eukaryota, Metazoa, Arthropoda, Insecta, Coleoptera, Curculionidae. The record is from RefSeq and is a predicted model, not a curated record.